Molecule: ribosomal RNA, 498 nt
Filed under: uncultured Glomeromycotina
Lineage: Eukaryota; Fungi; Glomeromycota
Description: partial small subunit ribosomal RNA
Rfam family: Eukaryotic small subunit ribosomal RNA
Source: RNAcentral
CCAAUAGCGUAUAUUAAAGUUGUUGCAGUUAAAAAGCUCGUAGUUGAAUUUCGGGAUCAAUACGUCGGUCGUGCUUCGGUACGUACUGGCGUCAUUGAUUUCUCCCUUCUGACGAACCAUGAUGUCAUUAACUUGGUGUCAUGGGAAAUCAGGACUGUUACUUUGAAAAAAUUAGAGUGUUUAAAGCAGGCUCACGCUUGAAUACAUUAGCAUGGAAUAAUGAAAUAGGACGUUCGAUCCUAUUUUGUUGGUUUUAGGAUCAACGUAAUGAUUAAUAGGGAUAGUUUGGGGCAUUAGUAUUCAAUUGUCAGAGGUGAAAUUCUUGGAUUUAUUGAAGACUAACUACUGCGAAAGCAUUUGCCAAGGAUGUUUUCAUUAAUCAAGAACGAAAGUUGGGGGAUCGAAGACGAUCAGAUACCGUCGUAGUCUUAACCAUAAACUAUGCCGACUAGGGAUCGGAUGAUGUUAAUUUUUUAAUGACUCAUUCGGCGCCUUACG